GUGGACUGAUAAGAAGUGAGAAUGCUGGCAUGAGUAACGAGAGAGGAGCGAGAAACUCCUCCGCCGUAAGCCUAAGGGUUCCUGGGCAAGGCUAAUCCUCCCAGGGUCAGUCGGGAGCUAAGGCGAGGCAGUGAUGCGUAGCCGAUGCACAACAGGUUGAUAUUCCUGUACCACCAUAUAUCGUUAUGACGAUGGGGUGACGGAGAAGGGUAGCCGGGCGGGGUUCUGGACGUCCCCGUGAAAGCGUGUAGGGUGAUAAGUAGGCAAAUCCGCUUGUCAUAUACCUGAGACGUUAGACGAAGCUCUAAGUGAAGUCGGUAAGCCCAUGCUUCCAAGAAAAACCUCUAAGCAGAUUUUUAUGGUGCCCGUACCAAAACCGACACAGGUAGGCGGGUAGAGCAUACCAAGGCGAUCGGGAGAACCAUGGUUAAGGAACUCGGCAUAAUGACUCCGUAACUUCGGGAGAAGGAGUGCCCUUGUUGGUGACGGAUCUCGCAUCCUGAGCUGAUGAGGGUCGCAGCGAAACGGCCCAAGCGACUGUUUAUCAAAAACACAGGACUCUGCUAAGUCGCAAGACGACGUAUAGGGUCUGACGCCUGCCCGGUGCUGGAAGGUUACGUGGAUGUGUUAGCUUAUGCGAAGCAUUGAAACUAAGCCCCAGUAAACGGCGGCCGUAACUAUAACGGUCCUAAGGUAGCGAAAUUCCUUGUCGGGUAAGUUCCGACCUGCACGAAUGGCGUAACGAUUUGGGCGCUGUCUCGACCAUGGACCCGGUGAAAUUGUAUUAUUCGUGAAGAUGCGAAUUACCUGCGGAAGGACGGAAAGACCCCGUGAACCUUUACUGCAGCUUGGCAUUGACUGUUGGUUCGGCGUGUAGAGGAUAGGUGGGAGACUGUGAAGCAGAAACGCCAGUUUCUGUGGAGUCAACCUUGGAAUACCACCCUCGCAGCUCCGGCAGUCUAACGUUAGACCGUUAUCCGGCUAGCGGACCGUGCCAGGUGGGUAGUUUGACUGGGGCGGUCGCCUCCUAAAUGGUAACGGAGGCGUGCGUAAGGUUCGCUCAGGAUGGUUGGCAAUCAUCCGUAGAGCACAAGAGUAUAAGCGAGCUUGACUGCGAGACCUACAAGUCGAGCAGAGACGAAAGUCGGUUCUAGUGAUCCGGCGGCCCAGC
Molecule: ribosomal RNA, 1171 nt
Filed under: human gut metagenome
Description: bacterial LSU rRNA
Rfam family: Bacterial large subunit ribosomal RNA
Source: RNAcentral